GCAAACUUGGUCAUUUAGAGGAAGUAAAAGUCGUAACAAGGUCUCCGUAGGUGAACCUGCGGAGGGAUCAUUACGAGAGAGAGCCCGCGAGGGACUCGAAAACCAUCGCGAAACGUACCCCGUCGCCGUUGCUUCGGCGGGCGGCCCCCCCCGCCUCGGGGGGGCGCCCCCGCCGGAGGGACGCGGUAACACCAUCUUCUUAGCGUCUCUUCUGAGUGGACCGGCGAAAUAAGUCAAAACUUUCAACAACGGAUCUCUUGGUUCUGGCAUCGAUGAAGAACGCAGC
Molecule: unclassified non-coding RNA, 286 nt
Filed under: uncultured fungus
Lineage: Eukaryota; Fungi
Description: partial contains small subunit ribosomal RNA, internal transcribed spacer 1, and 5.8S ribosomal RNA
Rfam family: Eukaryotic small subunit ribosomal RNA (bases 1-73)
Source: RNAcentral